GUACUGGUAAACCCAAUAGGCAGACCGAAUUGAGGCAAGGUGAUUCCUAAGCAAACUGCAUACCAAAAUACAAAGCCAAACAAAGAAUCAGGGGCAAUCAUAAGAGGCACCGACCUCGGGAAUUGACCGCUCACACUAAACCAACUCAGCUGGCCUAGAGAAAGGUCCAGGCAACAAAGAGCCCGCAAAACGCUCGAGAGAAGACAACCCAUAAAUACUCAGGGGCAAAAAACAUACACGAGAGUCCAACGCUCAGACAAAAAUAAUAAAAAGGCAAGAAAGGGAUACUUUCUACAAGAGCAGUUCUCAGACCGCACGGUCAUGAAUAGAGUUUAAAGAUUUAUCCCCUCACCAGUCAUGGAAUAACUGCUGAGGAGAUAAAGGGGCAAUUGAUGAUCGCUGG
RNAcentral lists this long non-coding RNA (403 nucleotides) under Manihot esculenta (cassava). RNAcentral describes it as "long non-coding RNA (MESC_LNC006814)". Lineage: Eukaryota; Viridiplantae; Streptophyta; Magnoliopsida; Malpighiales; Euphorbiaceae. The record is from RNAcentral.